AAGAGAGAGAAGACAUUUAUUGAGGCAAGCAGCUGGAGUGGACCUGCCCCCAUCACCAGGCCAGCUUCCCACCUGCACGUGCAGCUCUUUCUUCUUUUGCAGGAGGCUGGCUCUGCUCAUUAGACAUGCAACAAAGAGCUGGCCUGUGGAGCACACAUCCAUAUUCAUAACUCAAGUCAGCUGGAAAGUUGUACAUUUUUCUUUCUGGGAAGUCAUGGCGACAAAGACUGAAGACCCAGGCAGCACAAAUGUGAAUGAUGGUUCCAUGGAAAAGAGAAGGAGGUGAACAAAAGGAAGAAAUGCAGAGAAAAAUAUGGAAUAGAAAUAUGAGGGAAGAUAUUAGCAAACUGGCUACAUCUUUUAUGACAAACUCAACUGAUUACAUCUUUUCCAAGAACAUCUUCAGAGGUUUGCUGGAGUUUGGAUUUACUACUGAGUCAUAUUUGGAGCAUGCUGGAAUCUUACAACUGAGAUUACCGAGUCAGAAACUAAGUAUCCUGAUAUGGUUUGGCUGUGUCCCCACUCAAAUCUCAUCUUGAAUCAUAACUUCCACAAUUCCCACAUGUCAUGGGAGGAACCCAGUGGGAGGUGACUGAGUUACGGGGGCACGUCUUUCCUGCUCUGCUCUCAUCAUAGUGAAUGAGUCUCACGAGAUAUGAUAGUUUAAAAAAAAAAAGAAAAAAAAAAA
This is a long non-coding RNA of Homo sapiens (human), 688 nucleotides long. Ensembl annotates it as long intergenic non-protein coding RNA 2055. NCBI's taxonomy places the organism in Eukaryota, Metazoa, Chordata, Mammalia, Primates, Hominidae. The record is from Ensembl.